GGGAUUUAAGUGAAAUGAUAAAGCCACCCGUUCAAACCGAACCGGUGGGGAAAAUAUUAAUCCCACCGGUUUUGAACCGGUGGCAACGUUAAAAAAAAAAACCGCUCUUUUAUAAACCCUAAGCAAGCCUCUCCUCUCUCCCUUUACUCUCCUGCCUCUUUAUCUCUCCUCUCAACUCGCCUCUCCCCUCUUUCUCUCUCCUCUCAGCUCGCCUCUCCUGCCUCCUUCUCUCUCCUAAUCUCUUCUUUCUACUCCUUCUCAUCUCCUUCCUAAGCCCUCCUCAAAGGCCUCCACACAAUGAAGCCGCCCUCCACCGCACUUCGAGCUCGUCCCUUCUUCUCUCCCUCGAUCUACUUCUCUUUCCCCUCAAAGCCCACCACCGCCACCGCCACUAACCACCGCCACGAAGACCGAUCAUUUUUCACACUUUCAUGGUUUUGUAUGGUCGAAUAAUGAAGGUUCACAGAGCAAAAGGAUUCAAGCAAAAGGAUUCAAGAUGUUGAUUUUGGAAAUUCGAUUUUGCAAUUUUUUUUUUUUGAAAUUGUAAAAUACUGCAAUAAUUCAUUUGAUGAAUAUAUCGUUGUCUCACAAUUUUAAGUGAAAAAGCAUAUUAUUGGCAUUUAUUUGAUGAAUAUAUCGUUGAUGAAUAUAUUAUUGCAGUUUUUUAA
Long non-coding RNA from Chenopodium quinoa (quinoa), 668 nucleotides. RefSeq lists it as uncharacterized. The transcript is spliced from 2 exons. The record is from RefSeq and is a predicted model, not a curated record. Lineage: Eukaryota; Viridiplantae; Streptophyta; Magnoliopsida; Caryophyllales; Amaranthaceae.